Molecule: non-coding RNA, 470 nt
Organism: Pelodiscus sinensis (Chinese soft-shelled turtle)
Lineage: Eukaryota; Metazoa; Chordata; Testudines; Trionychidae
Source: RefSeq, a predicted model, not a curated record
UAAAAGCCCGCCAGCCACCUGAGGAAAGGGGGGAGAGAGACGAGGAGACUGGCCGGACUCGCUGAGAAUUGGAGGGACCCGGACGCACUAGUGACCAUCUCCCCAGGGCAUGCCGACGCCGUGUUGGACAACCCUGUUGAAGAAAGAGAAUCUUGUAGGAACCAGGGUAGACAGGUUACGAAGUUUUAGUUGCAGGGUGGAGGAAGAUCUGGAUCAGGAUGGAGGAAGAUUCUAUGAGCGACUUAGGAGAUGUGCUUCAGAUGGCAUUGUGCAAACUUCAUCUGCUUGAGCUCCAUCUACACAAUAAGGCCAUAUGGUUUUUUUUAACCAAACCUUGACAUCUUCCUCUGACCCUGUUGCAACAAACAGGGCUGCAUUGUGGCCACACAAUAGUUUUCUUCACGGUACAACCACUGCUCAACCGAGCUGCAUCCAAUCCCAGACACCUCUCUAAGACUAUGUCUAAACUG